UAAUAUUUAUACUUUCAUUCUAAAGUCUCUCGCCGUUGGUUCUCAUCGGUCUAAAUUUUGAAAAAUAGCCGUUGCAGUCUCUCUCUCUCUGUCUCUUUCCGCCUCUAGCAAAUCCAGACUCUUCUUCUUCCCACCGAUCUCUAGGGCCUAUUCUUUAACGGAAGAAGUAAAAAUAGCCGUUGCAGUCUCCCUCUCUCUCGCAAAUCCAGACUCUUCUUCUUCCCACCGGUCUAGAUCUAGGGUUUAUUCUUUAAUGGAAGAAGGAAAAAUCCCCGUUGAUUGAUUUUAUAAUCAGAGGCAUUUCAUGUUCUUUCAAACCAACGAAAUAAAAAAUAAUCCCUCAUGAUCUGUCACAAGGAAGCAUCCAAGUGCAUCAUUUGCUUUGGCUAUUUGCUUCUUAAUACAGAAAAGCUUCUCUUCUGGGGCUUGAAUUACUUGUACAGCAAGGGGUUCAUGGUGUGGUUUGUGUUAAUUAAUGCAAAUAAUUGCGUGGUUUGUGUUAAUUAAUGUAAAUUAUUUGAAUGUAAUGGUGUCGUUCGUACAAUGAUAAAGUGAUAUAAUAAAAAUGUAAUAUUUUGUUCUGUUAGGGAGAAGAGACCGCUGGGGGAUUGGCCCAGGGCUCUUCCUCCUCUGUGCGUGUGUGGGUGGUGUGUUGCUUUCUAUUUCUCAUUUCUUUUCCUUUCAACCUUCCCUCUUCAAUGUUUCUCUUAUUUUCCCAUCUCCA
Molecule: long non-coding RNA, 724 nt
Organism: Ziziphus jujuba (common jujube)
Lineage: Eukaryota; Viridiplantae; Streptophyta; Magnoliopsida; Rosales; Rhamnaceae
Exons: 3
Source: RefSeq, a predicted model, not a curated record